This is a long non-coding RNA of Aricia agestis (brown argus), 407 nucleotides long. RefSeq lists it as uncharacterized. The record is from RefSeq and is a predicted model, not a curated record. Lineage: Eukaryota; Metazoa; Arthropoda; Insecta; Lepidoptera; Lycaenidae. The transcript is spliced from 2 exons.
GGACAGACAUCGACGUCUCAGUAAUAGGGUCCCGUUUCUACCCUUUACAUACGGAACCAUAUAAGUAAUGUACUUUCAAUAUACCUCCUUAUUUAUAAAAAUAUUUACUUAUUAUCAAGUAGCUUGUACAAUAUAUGAGAAAAAGACAGCAACAUGGACUGGCACACACUUGUGUAGUUAAUAUUUUCAUAAAUAUUUUUUAUUCGAUCAGACCCCUAAUUUUUCAUAUAAUAAUAUCAUAUUUUCAUUCCAAAAUCUUAAACAUCAACCAUCACCACUGUAAUAUACUUCUAAGUUCUAUGUAUGACAAUACAACCUCCAUAAUUUAAAAUAGUUCUAUUGUUAUAUAAUAAAAAUCUGUGAUUUACAACCUAAAACUUGAUUUGUAGUAAACUGAACAAUAUUUA